RNAcentral lists this ribosomal RNA (253 nucleotides) under uncultured bacterium. RNAcentral's name for it is "partial 16S ribosomal RNA". It matches the Rfam family "Bacterial small subunit ribosomal RNA", at positions 524 to 776 of the family's 1533-position model. The record is from RNAcentral.
UACGAAGGGGGCUAGCGUUGUUCGGAAUUACUGGGCGUAAAGCGCACGUAGGCGGAUAUUUAAGUCAGGGGUGAAAUCCCAGAGCUCAACUCUGGAACUGCCUUUGAUACUGGUAGUCUCGAGUCCGGAAGAGGUGAGUGGAAUUCCGAGUGUAGAGGUGAAAUUCGUAGAUAUUCGGAGGAACACCAGUGGCGAAGGCGGCUCACUGGUCCGGUUCUGACGCUGAGGCGCGAAAGCGUGGGGAGCAAACAGG